CCUACGGGAGGCUGCAGUGGGGAAUAUUGGACAAUGGGGGGAACCCUGAUCCAGCCAUGCCGCGUGUGUGAAGAAGGCCCUCGGGUUGUAAAGCACUUUCAGUGAGGAAGAACGCCUGGUGGUUAAUACCCAUCAGGAAAGACAUCACUCACAGAAGAAGCACCGGCUAACUCCGUGCCAGCAGCCGCGGUAAUACGGAGGGUGCGAGCGUUAAUCGGAAUUACUGGGCGUAAAGCGCGCGUAGGUGGCUUGAUAAGCCGGUUGGGAAAGCCCCGGGCUCAACCUGGGAACGGCAUCCGGAACUGUCAAGCUAGAGUGCAGGAGAGGAAGGUAGAAUUCCCGGUGUAGCGGUGAAAUGCGUAGAGAUCGGGAGGAAUACCAGUGGCGAAGGCGGCCUUCUGGACUGACACUGACACUGAGGUGCGAAAGCGUGGGUAGCAAACAGGAUUAGAUACCCUAGUAGUC
This 465-nucleotide ribosomal RNA is filed under the name Vreelandella stevensii. Its description in RNAcentral is "partial 16S ribosomal RNA". It matches the Rfam family "Bacterial small subunit ribosomal RNA", at positions 338 to 795 of the family's 1533-position model. Lineage: Bacteria; Pseudomonadati; Pseudomonadota; Gammaproteobacteria; Oceanospirillales; Halomonadaceae. The record is from RNAcentral.